UACAGGGGGUGCAAACGUUGCUCGGAAUUAUUGGGCGUAAAGCGCGCGUAGGCGGCUACCUAAGUCGGAUGUGAAAGCCCCUGGCUUAACUGGGGAAGUGCACCCGAAACUGGGUAGCUAGAGUGCAAAAGAGGGUCGCGGAAUUCCCGGUGUAGAGGUGAAAUUCGUAGAUAUCGGGAGGAACACCGGUGGCGAAGGCGGCGACCUGGGUUGACACUGACGCUGAGGAGCGAAAGCGUGGGUAGCAAACAGG
This 253-nucleotide ribosomal RNA is filed under the name uncultured bacterium. RNAcentral's name for it is "partial 16S ribosomal RNA". It matches the Rfam family "Bacterial small subunit ribosomal RNA", at positions 524 to 776 of the family's 1533-position model. The record is from RNAcentral.